UUAAACUUGCUUUCUGUUCUUCUCAGCUGUCAGAGGAUUCCUCGACUGACACAUACAGAUGGCUGCUGUCACACCUCUCUCCUACAAGCAUCUGAAGGAGCGCUACUGAUGGGCACGGACAGCCUUGGGUUAAGACUACUGACCGGACCCUCACAUCUGCCAGGGUCGCUGCCCUUCUUCCUGCCUGUUUAAAUGAAACAUGACAAUGGAACCAAUUUAAACUGCUUUUCUGUUACAUCUUAUCCUAAAGCCUUCCAUUCCAGCACGAUUCCUCAAGAACUGUUUUCACACCGUUUUCUGCCCUGCCCUACUGCCAAACUCUCAUAUUCAACCCUACCGGGAUGAAUGUGUCGUCAGUAGCGCUCGACUGCUACAGAAUGUACCAACAUCCUUAUUGGUUCUCUUGCAUGAUCGCCCCAAAAAAGUCCCAUAAAUGCCACUUUCCAUACUUUGUAGGCAGUCGGCCCCUUUUGUGAUCGGUUACCAGGUGUGAUCACAAUCCCAAAUCGUAGUUUAGAGUUUUGUGAUAUGUAGCUGUUCGAGAUCCCUAAAUGUGAGCUCUCUAAGAUGCUGCACUGCGGGCCCUGACCCUAUGGGUAUAAAAGCUGCCUUUCAACAACUUGCUGUUUGUUCGACCACAUGGAGAUCUGGGAUAUCCCACGAAGUCCAACAACUCUGUAUGUGUACUUGUGUGUAUGUGAGAAAUCGAAAGUCAAUUUCAGAUUUUCUUCUUAUAACGUAUUGUCACAGUCUUUCGAUGUUACUCUUUGUUGAAACGGGGAUCAGUUUACAGUUGGGUUACAAAUUGUACAAGUGGGAAAAAAAGUAUGGAAAAAAAAAAGUGUUGCUUGAUGCCAAAAAAAAAAGAGAGAAUCCAUUAAAACGGGCGACCGGCUCUCUUCAGUUUUUCCUUGAGGAUGAAUUAUCCAUUGUUACAGCAUAUGCUAGUAUUGGUUCUCGAUGCAAAGUUAAUAGCAUAUUUCAGAUUGAGUCUGAGUUAAGCAUCCAUUCACUUUUUACCCAUUAAUGACAUAUAUAUUGAAUGUGUCAGCUUUAUAUACCAGGCCAGUGCUCCAAAACACGCUUUCACGUCCACAUGCAUACAUUUCACUUUUGAGGAAACUGAAUGAAUCUUAUGCAUAUUGAAAAUCAUGUCUGCCCUCUAGUGGUUUGGAGGGCUUGUAAUCUUCAUUCUACUUUCUUCGCUUCUGAAUACAUUCCAUUUCUAUGUGCCAUAAUUUCAAACACUUUUUAGAUUAUAAUUGAAUUAUUUGUGACUCUAUUUGACAUAUUUAUUGUACAUUGUAAUUAUUCUCACAAAUGUUGUAUUUUUGUCAGGUAUUUCUUUCUCUUCUUAAAUUAAUCAUUAUCAGCUUGUGCCAACUGAUUUUUUAUUUUAUUAUUCUUUUAACCUGUGCAAUCCGCUGUUGAACAGAUUGAGUUUCUAUAUCCAGACCCUGUAGACCAGCAGCUCUGGGCUCUUUCUCUGAUCAGAGAUCAGUCCUAUAGACCCUCUCUUAAUAUAUGGUGUGUGUGAAUGCAACUGAAAUCUCUGUGUCCCUUUAAAAUGAAUGAACUAUUCCAUUCUUCUUUCUGCUUGUAGCCCAAAAUGGGUGUUAAAAGAGCCACUGCCUGGCAUGUUCUGUAAUCGGGCACAUUUUUGUUAUGUUUCUCCUAAAACAAUGCCAUAUGAAAGAUGCACCAUUCCUGCUUCAGCUAUCUUCAAGCGUGUAUGUGGAUUAUCCAAGGGAAAGUGGUGUGUGUUAGACCUCUGACUGUGUCAUGAUGCUAAGCAUCUUAAGCUCAGCUCCCAAUCUUGGGCCGGGCUUAAUCCAGCUGUAUCACAGCCCUGUGAUAAAUUAGCUUUCCAGAGAAAAUAUAUCAGAGCUCUAUUUACAUUUGCUUUCAGCUAGACAGGGGAGGCCAGUUGGUGUGAUGUUUCAUUGUGAACAUUAGUCCAACGUGAGCCCAUUUUUGUUUUUCUCGGUGCAUGUGUGACUACUAAUGCCACCACUGGACAGAACCCUGGUGAGCACAUACACACUCACACCAAGAUGAAGACACAUCCAUGUGUUUGUUAAGCUCAGUUUGGGAGGGGAAAACAGAACUUGCCUGCAAUGUUUGAAAUUACCAAACAGACCUUUAAAUUACUCCAGAGAUGCUAUUUUCAAAGCUUAUAAUAAUUAUUGGAUUCUCGUGUUGCCUGAAAUAUAUAUAAAUAUUUGAUUGUAUUUUUAAUGAAACUUUUUGAGCCACUUUUCAUAAAAAAAAAUAAAUAAAUAAAAAAGGCUGAAAAAGGCGGCCUG
Molecule: long non-coding RNA, 2306 nt
Filed under: Sinocyclocheilus grahami
Lineage: Eukaryota; Metazoa; Chordata; Actinopteri; Cypriniformes; Cyprinidae
Description: lncRNA (ENSSGRG00000054675.1)
Source: RNAcentral